AAUCAGGCCACUUACAUGGGUGCCUAUCUUUAGAUACCCUCGGUUUGAAAAACCUGGCAUUACCGGCUGAGAAGUACUAUUAAAAUAUAAAAGGAAUUCCAAUGCAACUCUGUAUAGGGCUCUUGAGAAUAAUGUUAUGCUAUAAACUCAUGAUGCUACAGCAAUUUGGAUUGAAGACUGAGAGUCCUUUAAAUAUAGCAAAAUAAAAAUUCAACGUAAAGCUUUACUGCUGCUAAAAAAAAGCAGAAAUUGAGUAUCUCAGCAGCUUGCAAGAGGUACGCAGCAAUUUGCAGGAUUGGGUUCAUAUAUCACAUCAAUCUGGUAAAAUAUUCAAUGAAAAAGGAGCCCAAUCCUGCAGGUUUUAUAGCUGGGAUAAUCUUACUGAUGUCAAUGGGAUUAGUCAGGAGUAAGGGCUGUAGGACUGGUUCCCCAAUGUACUCCAGUAGAAACCAACUCACAAGAAUGAAGCAGAGUGGGCACCAAUGAAAGGCUGUGUUCGCUCUGGGAGCGAUGUUCCUUCUUAUCUCCUUCUGAUGAUGACUGAGCAGAGAAAGUCUUGACUAUUCUGCUGGAGUAAGUAGUCUAGAGGUUCGAUCUCUUUGAAGAAAAAUGAACUUAGGAGUUCAGUGUUGAGCUGCAGCUCACAGGAGCACUCAUCAAAACUGACUUUUCAGGCUUGCUGGGAUCUUUUGUCUCCAGCUCUGAAGAGCCCUCAUUUGAGAGCUCCUGUAGAGAAAAGCUGAGGUGGGCCUUUCUCACUUUCUGUGUCCUUUUGUAGAAAGAGCAACACAUGGAGCAUCUCUCAGGGAUGGGUCUCCUGCUGAGGUGAAAGAGGCAUCUAGAGUGCCCAUCGUUGAUCAGGAUAGUAGCCUCACAAAAGUUUUAAAUCUCAGGGAUUUUAUUUCAGCAAGAGUGGCUAGUGGCCUGGUACCAUGGGUACCUGGUACCCCUAAACUUUUCUAAUUUUUAUUUAUUCUUUGUACAUAUUUAUUUACUGCCAAUGGGUGGAACCAAAGAACUAGUAACUAUACUGUGAGGAUCUGGGGAAUCUGUUUGAUGUUAUGAACUACGUGUAUGUUUAUGCCCUUAUGGGCUGCCUGUACUGUAGUCUUGCAUCACACUUCUUGUGUUAAGGAGAGGGAGUGUGGCCAGCCUCAGAAUGAAUGGCCAUUAAGUACCAUCAACAACUGAAUAAGCCUUGCCCUAGCAGAACAAUGGGGUGGCUGCAGUCUGUCUAGAUCCAACCAGUUAUCUCCAACUUGUCUGCAGAGGAGCAGAGAAAGAAAAAACAAAAACAAAAAACAAGAGAAGGAACAAUGAACCCAAGAUGUUAGUACUAGGUUUUAAGAACAUAAAGUCUGGGAGGGUCAGAAACACAAAUAGAAUUUAGGGCAGGAGUGAGAGCAGACUCCAUGAUCUGGACAUGAACACAGUUGGAGGAGUAAUGUUCAAAAGAGACAUGAGAUCCUGAAAGGACACUGAUCAAAUCUCAAAGAAUGCUCAAGACUGAUGAGGAGACUGAGGUAAGCCUGUCUUUUAACAGCUUUUAACAGCCCGGUCAGCAAGAGCCGCCAGAGUCCCUUUUCAACCGGGUGUUCCAGUUGAAAACCGAAUGUCUGGCAACCCUAGACCAGACCAAGGGAGCAGAAAAUCUCACAGAUCUAGUGCUUGGAUCCAAACACAGCAGCGUGUUAUUCUCCUCACCACGCCUUGUGACCUUAUUGAAAUGAACUGUGACUGUAUACAUCAUUGUUGCAACCAGAGUCCUAUGGUUGCACCAGGUCUUGUACAAAGGAGGUCAACUGGGGUGUCUAUGGAAAGGCUGUAGUUUGCUGAUUAUGAUUAUGCUGUCUG
This is a long non-coding RNA of Dermochelys coriacea (leatherback sea turtle), 1854 nucleotides long. RefSeq lists it as uncharacterized. The record is from RefSeq and is a predicted model, not a curated record. Lineage: Eukaryota; Metazoa; Chordata; Testudines; Dermochelyidae. The transcript has 3 exons.